RNAcentral lists this ribosomal RNA (2923 nucleotides) under Klebsiella pneumoniae. Its description in RNAcentral is "bacterial LSU rRNA". It matches the Rfam family "Bacterial large subunit ribosomal RNA". The record is from RNAcentral. Lineage: Bacteria; Pseudomonadati; Pseudomonadota; Gammaproteobacteria; Enterobacterales; Enterobacteriaceae.
GGGUUGUGAGGUUAAGCGACUAAGCGUACACGGUGGAUGCCCUGGCAGUCAGAGGCGAUGAAGGACGUGCUAAUCUGCGAAAAGCGUCGGUAAGGUGAUAUGAACCGUUAUAACCGGCGAUGUCCGAAUGGGGAAACCCAGUGCAAUUCGUUGCACUAUCGUUAACUGAAUACAUAGGUUAACGAGGCGAACCGGGGGAACUGAAACAUCUAAGUACCCCGAGGAAAAGAAAUCAACCGAGAUUCCCCCAGUAGCGGCGAGCGAACGGGGAGCAGCCCAGAGUCUGAAUCAGCUUGUGUGUUAGUGGAACGGUCUGGAAAGUCCGACGGUACAGGGUGAUAGUCCCGUACACCAAAAUGCACAGGUUGUGAACUCGAAGAGUAGGGCGGGACACGUGGUAUCCUGUCUGAAUAUGGGGGGACCAUCCUCCAAGGCUAAAUACUCCUGACUGACCGAUAGUGAACCAGUACCGUGAGGGAAAGGCGAAAAGAACCCCGGCGAGGGGAGUGAAAAAGAACCUGAAACCGUGUACGUACAAGCAGUGGGAGCACCUUCGGGUGUGACUGCGUACCUUUUGUAUAAUGGGUCAGCGACUUAUAUUCUGUAGCAAGGUUAACCGUAUAGGGGAGCCGCAGGGAAACCGAGUCUUAACUGGGCGUUAAGUUGCAGGGUAUAGACCCGAAACCCGGUGAUCUAGCCAUGGGCAGGUUGAAGGUUGGGUAACACUAACUGGAGGACCGAACCGACUAAUGUUGAAAAAUUAGCGGAUGACUUGUGGCUGGGGGUGAAAGGCCAAUCAAACCGGGAGAUAGCUGGUUCUCCCCGAAAGCUAUUUAGGUAGCGCCUCGUGAAUUCAUCUUCGGGGGUAGAGCACUGUUUCGGCUAGGGGGUCAUCCCGACUUACCAACCCGAUGCAAACUACGAAUACCGAAGAAUGUUAUCACGGGAGACACACGGCGGGUGCUAACGUCCGUCGUGAAGAGGGAAACAACCCAGACCGCCAGCUAAGGUCCCAAAGUCAUGGUUAAGUGGGAAACGAUGUGGGAAGGCACAGACAGCCAGGAUGUUGGCUUAGAAGCAGCCAUCAUUUAAAGAAAGCGUAAUAGCUCACUGGUCGAGUCGGCCUGCGCGGAAGAUGUAACGGGGCUAAACCAUGCACCGAAGCUGCGGCAGCGACACUAUGUGUUGUUGGGUAGGGGAGCGUUCUGUAAGCCUGCGAAGGUGACCUGUGAGGGUUGCUGGAGGUAUCAGAAGUGCGAAUGCUGACAUAAGUAACGAUAAAGCGGGUGAAAAGCCCGCUCGCCGGAAGACCAAGGGUUCCUGUCCAACGUUAAUCGGGGCAGGGUGAGUCGACCCCUAAGGCGAGGCCGAAAGGCGUAGUCGAUGGGAAACAGGUUAAUAUUCCUGUACUUGGUGUUACUGCGAAGGGGGGACGGAGAAGGCUAUGUUAGCCGGGCGACGGUUGUCCCGGUUUAAGCAUGUAGGCUGGUUAUCCAGGCAAAUCCGGAUAAUCAAGGCUGAGGUGUGAUGACGAGGCACUACGGUGCUGAAGUAACAAAUGCCCUGCUUCCAGGAAAAGCCUCUAAGCAUCAGGUAACAUCAAAUCGUACCCCAAACCGACACAGGUGGUCAGGUAGAGAAUACCAAGGCGCUUGAGAGAACUCGGGUGAAGGAACUAGGCAAAAUGGUGCCGUAACUUCGGGAGAAGGCACGCUGGUGUGUAGGUGAAGUCCCUGCGGAUGGAGCUGAGACCAGUCGAAGAUACCAGCUGGCUGCAACUGUUUAUUAAAAACACAGCACUGUGCAAACACGAAAGUGGACGUAUACGGUGUGACGCCUGCCCGGUGCCGGAAGGUUAAUUGAUGGGGUUAUCCGUAAGGAGAAGCUCUUGAUCGAAGCCCCGGUAAACGGCGGCCGUAACUAUAACGGUCCUAAGGUAGCGAAAUUCCUUGUCGGGUAAGUUCCGACCUGCACGAAUGGCGUAAUGAUGGCCAGGCUGUCUCCACCCGAGACUCAGUGAAAUUGAACUCGCUGUGAAGAUGCAGUGUACCCGCGGCAAGACGGAAAGACCCCGUGAACCUUUACUAUAGCUUGACACUGAACAUUGAGCCUUGAUGUGUAGGAUAGGUGGGAGGCUUUGAAGCGUGGACGCCAGUCUGCGUGGAGCCAACCUUGAAAUACCACCCUUUAAUGUUUGAUGUUCUAACGUUGGCCCCUGACCGGGGUUGCGGACAGUGUCUGGUGGGUAGUUUGACUGGGGCGGUCUCCUCCCAAAGCGUAACGGAGGAGCACGAAGGUUAGCUAAUCCUGGUCGGACAUCAGGAGGUUAGUGCAAUGGCAUAAGCUAGCUUGACUGCGAGCGUGACGGCGCGAGCAGGUGCGAAAGCAGGUCAUAGUGAUCCGGUGGUUCUGAAUGGAAGGGCCAUCGCUCAACGGAUAAAAGGUACUCCGGGGAUAACAGGCUGAUACCGCCCAAGAGUUCAUAUCGACGGCGGUGUUUGGCACCUCGAUGUCGGCUCAUCACAUCCUGGGGCUGAAGUAGGUCCCAAGGGUAUGGCUGUUCGCCAUUUAAAGUGGUACGCGAGCUGGGUUUAGAACGUCGUGAGACAGUUCGGUCCCUAUCUGCCGUGGGCGCUGGAGAAUUGAGGGGGGCUGCUCCUAGUACGAGAGGACCGGAGUGGACGCAUCACUGGUGUUCGGGUUGUCAUGCCAAUGGCACUGCCCGGUAGCUAAAUGCGGAAGAGAUAAGUGCUGAAAGCAUCUAAGCACGAAACUUGCCCCGAGAUGAGUUCUCCCUGAGACUUUAAGUCUCCUGAAGGAACGUUGAAGACGACGACGUUGAUAGGCCGGGUGUGUAAGCGCAGCGAUGCGUUGAGCUAACCGGUACUAAUGAACCGUGAGGCUUAACCUUACAACGCCGAAG